CUUUGCCUUCUUCACAACCUUGUGUUAUACUGUGAGAUGUGGAUCCUUUAAAUAUUACAGGAACUUGCAUGGCUUGUGUACAGGAUACAACAUUUCCUGGGAGUGUUCUCAGCCUAGGUGGUGAAAGACUGCUUUAAACUCAUGGGGACAACUGAGAGUGACAAGAGGCAUUAUUUUGUUGAGACUUUUCAAUCAUCAUGAUGUUGAUGGCACUGUCUACAAAACUAUCACCACUGGAUUGCCCCUCUUCAGCGGGCAAGGCAGCAGCAGCACCAAUAGGUGGUGUCCCAAUCCUGUAGCCCUCUGGUGAGUGGGGAUAUUGAGAUGAACCAUCGCCCUAUUAGACCAACUAAAAGUCCACAGGAUAAAAAUUGUAAUCUUGGUCCCCCACUUCAUUAAUGGCUAGCGUCAUUACUAUUGUAGUGUUGAAAACACAUGACAUUGCUGAACUGUGGCUGUUCGUCAACUCUUGAUAUUAAACAAUAGAGAAUCUUCUUACCGCCCUCAGAUAGUU
Molecule: long non-coding RNA, 514 nt
Filed under: Dermacentor andersoni
Lineage: Eukaryota; Metazoa; Arthropoda; Arachnida; Ixodida; Ixodidae
Description: uncharacterized LOC126525430
Source: RNAcentral